UCUUUGGUAGUAUAGUGGUUAGUAUACCCGCCUGUCACGCGGGUGACCGGGGUUCAAUUCCCCGCCAGAGAG
Molecule: non-coding RNA, 72 nt
Organism: Geopyxis carbonaria
Lineage: Eukaryota; Fungi; Ascomycota; Pezizomycetes; Pezizales; Tarzettaceae
Source: the annotation of a GenBank genome assembly